Molecule: non-coding RNA, 83 nt
Organism: Pelobates cultripes (western spadefoot toad)
Lineage: Eukaryota; Metazoa; Chordata; Amphibia; Anura; Pelobatidae
Source: the annotation of a GenBank genome assembly
AUGGGUGGGCUGUGGAGAUAAGGGAUGUACAUGGUCAGUAACAAUAUCCAUGUACAUCCCUUACCUCCACAGCCCACCCAUCC